Molecule: ribosomal RNA, 948 nt
Filed under: Triticum aestivum (bread wheat)
Lineage: Eukaryota; Viridiplantae; Streptophyta; Magnoliopsida; Poales; Poaceae
Description: partial small subunit ribosomal RNA
Source: RNAcentral
AUGGGGUCCCUCAUCGGCCAUGUUGCGCCGGGAGCCGGUUUCCUCCUCAUCGGCCUGUGGCAUCUCUUCAACCACAUCCGUCUGCUGGCGCUGAGUCCCAGCUCCUACGUCGCGCCGGUCUGGUUCCCGUUCCCGGCGCGGGGCCUCCGGCACCUCGAGCUCAUCCUCAUCAUCGUCGGGUCGUCGGCGUCCAUCUUCAUGGAGCUCUUCGGCAGCCCCAGGAAGCACCAACCGUUCGACGACGACGGCACCAUCCCCUCCGUGCACCUCCACAACCUGGAGCACGCGUCCAUCUCGCUCGCGCUGCUCCUCUUCGCCGCGGCCACCCUCCACAUGGACAGGGUCCGGGCGCCCAUGCGGGACGCCGUCUCGCAGCUGGUCGCCGCCGCGGCGCUCGCGCAGGAGCUGCUCAUGUUCCACCUCCACUCCACGGACCACAUGGGCGUGGAGGGGCAGUUCCACUGGCUGCUGCAGGCCGUCAUCGCGGUCACGCUCGCCGCCACGCUGCUGUGGUUCGCCUGCCCUGGGAGCUUCGCCGUGAGCCUGGUGCGGUCCGCGAGCAUCGUUUUGCAGGGCGUCUGGUUCAUCGUCAUGGGCGUCAUGCUCUGGACGCCGGGGCUCAUCUCCAAGGGAUGCUUCAUCAACCUCGAGGAAGGCCACAACGUUGUCCGCUGCCGCACCGACGAGGCGCUCCACCGCGCAAAGUCCCUCGUCAACCUGCAGUUCAGCUGGUACCUCACCGCCACCGUGCUGUUCGUCGUCGUGUUGUACCUCCAGCUCACCAAGCUGUACCACGAGGAGCCGCGCUACCUUCCGCUGGUGAAGACAAGCCACGCCGACGGCAGGUCCGGAUCUGUCGAGGACGAUGACGGCGACGAUGACGACGACCACGUCGAGGCCGCAAAGCGUACCUUCGGUCACGGUCACGUGGUCAGCGGCACACAUUAA